Molecule: long non-coding RNA, 806 nt
Organism: Equus quagga
Lineage: Eukaryota; Metazoa; Chordata; Mammalia; Perissodactyla; Equidae
Exons: 3
Source: RefSeq, a predicted model, not a curated record
GUUGUCUCGGCUGCGGGCCUGCUGUGUGUCUUGAGGCCGGCGCUUUACUCCUGGUGAAAAAUACCUGUCUAGGAAGGCGGUUAUAAGAAUUAAAAGGCACGUUUCCGGAAAGAGAGAGAGAGGGUCAUUUCGGUAAUCUCCAGCAAACACCUUGCUCUCCACAGCUGAUUUAAAAAGAACAGAACAGAUCCGCAUGAGCAAGUUCUGCUCACACUGUAGAAGGAAGAAGACUGUGAGGUGGGGAUCAGGCAGAAGAGGAUUCUCGGCGGGAAGCAGUAGUGCAAAGAGGGUAAGACAAGCACAAACUUGGCAAAUUUAAAGACUAGAAAUUGACCCACUGCGGCUGAAGCUGGGGUAGGCAGGGGCCGGGUAUCUAGAGCUCUGCAAGCUAGGCAUGGAAUUUAGAUUUUCUUCUAAGGAAAUCAAAUCCUUUGGGGGGUUUUAAAUAAGGAAGUAACAUAAUGAAACUUACAUUUUAAAAAUAUUAUUUUGGCAUAAGGAUAGUCUUAUGGAUCAGUGGGAUGGAAUUGAGAGUCCAGAAAUAAACCCACACCUCUGUGCUCAGUUGAUUUUCAAUACCAGUGCCAAGACCAGUGCUUGGGGAAAGAAAAGUCUCUUCAACAAAUUGUGCUGGGAAACUAGAUAUUCACAGGCAAAAGAAUGAAGUUGGAAUCUACCUCCCACCAUAUACAGAAAUUAACCCCAAAUGGAUCAAAGACCCAAAAGUAAUGCUAAAACUAUGAAGCUCUUAGAAGAAAACUUAGGGGUAAAUCUUCAUGACCUGAGAUUUGGCAUCGGUUUCUUAG